UGUGGUCAGUGAUGCUUUUUUUACCUACAUUGUCCGAACACAGUGAGAGAUAAAAACCAGCUGAGACCACA
Small nucleolar RNA from Branchiostoma floridae (Florida lancelet), 71 nucleotides. RefSeq annotates it as small nucleolar RNA SNORD34. NCBI's taxonomy places the organism in Eukaryota, Metazoa, Chordata, Leptocardii, Amphioxiformes, Branchiostomatidae. The record is from RefSeq and is a predicted model, not a curated record. The transcript has a single exon.